AGGCGACUCUAAGGAAAGUGCAACAGAAAUAAACCACCUACAUUAUGUAGGAAAGGAUGGAAAGGCGAGGUAAGAGCUCACCGUCUUCUUGGUGACAAGAAGAGCAAUGUAAACCCCACUUGAAGCAAGACCGUAUAAAGACUUUUGUGGCUGCUCGUCACGUCUUAGGUAGGUCGCUAAAGUGUCUAGGUAACUAGGCACAUAGAUAGAUGACUGUCAAAUACAGAACUCGGCGUAUAGAUUUGGUUACAUU
Molecule: RNase P RNA, 253 nt
Filed under: Candidatus Parepulonipiscium sp. PG-Nele67M_MBin01
Lineage: Bacteria; Bacillati; Bacillota; Clostridia; Lachnospirales; Lachnospiraceae
Description: Epulopiscium sp. Nele67-Bin001 partial RNase P RNA component class A
Rfam family: Bacterial RNase P class A
About the family: Ribonuclease P (RNase P) is a ubiquitous endoribonuclease, found in archaea, bacteria and eukarya as well as chloroplasts and mitochondria. Its best characterised activity is the generation of mature 5'-ends of tRNAs by cleaving the 5'-leader elements of precursor-tRNAs.
Source: RNAcentral